UGGCUCAGUUCAGAUCGUAGGCUGCAACUCGCCUACGUGAAGUAGGAAUCGCUAGUAAUCGCAGGUCAGCAUACUGCGGUGAAUACGUUCCCGGGCCUUGUACACACCGCCCGUCACACCAUGGAAGUUGGCCACGCCCGAAGCCGUUACUCCAACCCUUGUGGAGGAGGACGUCGAAGGUGGGGCUGAUGACUGGGGUGAAGUCGUAACAAGGUAGCCGUACCGGAAGGUGCGGCUGGAUCACCUCCUAACAGGGAGACAAACAACGAUUUUGAUGUCUGAGUAUUUGUAUUCUCAGGCCGAAAUCCUGUCACCUUAGGUCGAUCGGUACCUCAGCAUUGAUAGCAAUGAUUGAUGAGCAAUCAUCAGGAGAUUGAAGGAGAUGUUCAGUUCCUAAACUUUGUCUAGGUCACACCCCAAAAGGGAUGAGACUCCUGGGCCAUUAGCUCAGGUGGUUAGAGCGCACCCCUGAUAAGGGUGAGGUCCCUGGUUCAAGUCCAGGAUGGCCCAUUCGGUGUUGGGGGUUUAGCUCAGUUGGUAGAGCGCCUGCUUUGCAAGCAGGAUGUCAGGAGUUCGAGUCUCCUAACCUCCACUGACCGAACUGUAUCCCCAUCUCCAAGGAUUUGGAGUUGAGCUCGAUUGGCGUGUGAUUUAGAUGUGUCCGCUGGAUGACCCCAGCUUCCUGUCAUUCCAAAUGAAAGCAAAGGAAAAUUGCUUGUUGAGUUUGGUUGAUAAGAUGCU
Molecule: unclassified non-coding RNA, 741 nt
Filed under: uncultured Synechococcus sp.
Lineage: Bacteria; Bacillati; Cyanobacteriota; Cyanophyceae; Synechococcales; Synechococcaceae
Description: partial contains 16S ribosomal RNA and 16S-23S ribosomal RNA intergenic spacer
Rfam family: Bacterial small subunit ribosomal RNA (bases 1-251)
Source: RNAcentral